Molecule: ribosomal RNA, 465 nt
Filed under: Vreelandella stevensii
Lineage: Bacteria; Pseudomonadati; Pseudomonadota; Gammaproteobacteria; Oceanospirillales; Halomonadaceae
Description: partial 16S ribosomal RNA
Rfam family: Bacterial small subunit ribosomal RNA
Source: RNAcentral
CCUACGGGGGGCUGCAGUGGGGAAUAUUGGACAAUGGGGGGAACCCUGAUCCAGCCAUGCCGCGUGUGUGAAGAAGGCCCUCGGGUUGUAAAGCACUUUCAGUGAGGAAGAACGCCUGGUGGUUAAUACCCAUCAGGAAAGACAUCACUCACAGAAGAAGCACCGGCUAACUCCGUGCCAGCAGCCGCGGUAAUACGGAGGGUGCGAGCGUUAAUCGGAAUUACUGGGCGUAAAGCGCGCGUAGGUGGCUUGAUAAGCCGGUUGUGAAAGCCCCGGGCUCAACCUGGGAACGGCAUCCGGAACUGUCAAGCUAGAGUGCAGGAGAGGAAGGUAGAAUUCCCGGUGUAGCGGUGAAAUGCGUAGGGAUCGGGAGGAAUACCAGUGGCGAAGGCGGCCUUCUGGACUGACACUGACACUGAGGUGCGAAAGCGUGGGUAGCAAACAGGAUUAGAUACCCUUGUAGUC